RNAcentral lists this non-coding RNA (21 nucleotides) under Arabidopsis thaliana (thale cress). Lineage: Eukaryota; Viridiplantae; Streptophyta; Magnoliopsida; Brassicales; Brassicaceae. The record is from RNAcentral.
GGGGUGAAUGGAGGAUGAGCA